GCAUUAUAUAUGAACUACAUUUUCAAUGCAUUUUUGAAUAAAUUAAUAGAUCCAGAAAACAAAUAUGCUGAAUGAAUAUUGCUGAAUGUACAAGUUCGAAUGAUUCAGAUACUCUUGUUUUUCUAUCCUCCACCCCCCCCCCCCCCCCCCCCCCCCCCCCCNNNNNNNNNNNNNNNNNNNNNNNNNNNNNNNNNNNNNNNNNNNNNNNNNNNNNNNNNNNNNNNNNNNNNNNNNAGUGUGUUUGUCUCGGAUGAGCAGUGUUUUCUCCAGUAUGCCACCACCUUUUGGAACAGCACAAGCUUUCCUAUUGAGACUAGCCCAACUUGAAGCUCAGCUAGUUUUGAACCUGAUUAGUAACGUUGCAUCUGGAAAUAAUAGUGGUUAUGGGAACCCUUUUGUUCCUUUAAAUUUCUUACAGCCUGUUGGCAUUCAAAGAUCCUCAUUUUUGAGCAUGUACCAGUGCCCAGGGGGUUUUAAAAACAUGGAUUCCACACCUCACAUGGUUAGUCAUCCUUCAACAACAGUCACAGAAAUUAAUUCAGUCAUUGCCAAUAAGGAGAGUGGUGCACUUCUGGCAAAAGAGAUUAUUCAGGAGAAAACACUAGGUCCCAUCAUGAAUAAUACAACAUUGCCACUGCCAACAUCUGAGGAAGCUCUUUUUAGAUCCAGUCCCAACCAUCUAGGCAAACAUUUCGCCUUAAAACCACAUAUGGACUGUUCUCAAUACCAGUCAGUGACAGCCAAAGCAAUGAUGCCUCCUGAUAAACCACAGAUUGGAGAAGCAGAGCCAAAGCAACAAACAAUGCUGCAGUAUCCAACAGAAAGUCUGAUCAAAGCUUUAACCAGCCUUGGCCUUUCUCUUGAGGAUCUAGAAUUACUCAGUCAUUGCCCAGAAAACCAGUUAACAACAGAGAAUCUCCCCUUCAUUAUAAAAGACAUUCAACAGCGCAAAGGAACAAAGGACAUUAAAUAUGGCCAUGCUAGAUGUAUCUCAUCUGAUCAAGUGGGAGAGUCAUCAUACACUCAUGGGGAACAGAGGAAUCCGAGGAUUAUAAAUGGUGAAUGGCAAGAAUCCCAUUCCCAGAGAUCUCUCAGCCCUGAAAGAUGUCGCUCAUCUAAAGUCAUUUAUAAGCACUUCUCGACCCAAUCUAGAACACUAAGAACAAGACAUUCAUCAGGAAGAGGAUCAAAUUCCUUCCUAAAGAGGCUGCAACAUGAGCCUGCUGAGGUCACCGGCUGGAGGCCUGGUUCAGUCUAUUUUCCCCCUCGAUCAAAACGCAGCAUAAGCCACAGCUUUGUCUCUCUAGACUGUAAUAAAGCAAUACAUUAUACUACACAAAGACCCUUGUCCUCUCCACACAGAUCCAACACUUACAAUGCCAUGACAAAAAGUCAUCAACAGUCUUCAUUUCCAGUCAAAUCUGCAAAAUCAGAAGUAACCGCUGAAUCCAUCAACAUUCAGAUGCCAGUAACUAAGACGACUGCAAAAACAUUAGCACAAACUAAGGGUGUGAUUCGUGUGUCUGGAAUCCCUCUUGAUUACUCUCAGAGUGAACUCAUCAAAAUGGCAUCUCCGUUUGGUCACUCUGUUGAGGUUUUAAUGGCGACUGAGGUUUACACAACAACCUGUCUAGAAUGGAAGAAGGCUUUACUGAAGUUUCCAACUGAAUUCUCAGCCGAGGAGAUGGUGAAGGUUUACUCUGCUAUCCCAGUUCACAUGAGACAGCAAAGUUUGGAGCUGGUGUCCCAAACUGUUGACUUUAGUUCACCUGUGUCAGUGUUUCAUGCUUUUGCGGGGCCAUCAUUGUCAAAUGGGCUGCUAACAGCUUUGGACCAUUUGCUGGUUGUAUGUAAUGUUCCCAAUCAGCCCAGUGCUGCUACAGGAGUGCUACGGCUGCUAAAGCCUUUUGGACAAGUUUUCAGAGCUCUGGUACUUCAUGGAAACAAGGUGGAUGUUGAUCAGUGCCUUGGGAACAAUAGCAGCAUCCAGAUGGUUUUAGAGAUGGAAUCCGCUUCUGUUGCUUUAUCUGUAUAUGAGUGGUCUCAAAAAAUUCCUUGUCUUUAUCACAACCAUCAUCUGUCUUUCCUCAGAGGAUGUAAUAUACAGAAAAAUACAUCUGAGGUCCAUUCAGCCUAAUAUCCUCACUGUUUUUUUAGUCCCCUUAAAUAUUGUAUAUUUUCAUUAUCUUUGUAAUAAAAUAAAAUGAAACAAGGUCAUAAGAAGCAUUAUUAUUUGUCUUUCUCCUUUUAUAAAAUUAUAUAUUUAUUGAGCAGC
This is a long non-coding RNA of Sinocyclocheilus grahami, 2275 nucleotides long. The record is from Ensembl. Lineage: Eukaryota; Metazoa; Chordata; Actinopteri; Cypriniformes; Cyprinidae.